GCCUAUUAUGAACGAUAAUAGAUACAAUACAUUUUCAAAUGCCUGGCAAUCUGUAUAGUGCCUUUGUAGUUUUCGUGAUUUACUUUAAAGCUGAGCAGAUAUUGUUAUUAAUAUUAUUUAGUCAAUGGCUUUAUUGAAAUUUACGGUUAUUACGAUUGUUAUUAUUAUUUUUUUUUUAAAUUAAAGAUUUUAAUUGCAUAAAACCGUAAUAUGUACCUAUAGUAUUAAAAUUACGAGAGGGCCAAAUUGAUUUCAAAUUAAAGUCGAAAAAUUGAGAAAAUUAAGUAUUGAAAAACAUAUUGCACACUGUCGUGUAUAAUACUAUUAAAUGAUU
This is a non-coding RNA of Cinara cedri, 334 nucleotides long. The record is from the annotation of a GenBank genome assembly. NCBI's taxonomy places the organism in Eukaryota, Metazoa, Arthropoda, Insecta, Hemiptera, Aphididae.